This 5964-nucleotide unclassified non-coding RNA is filed under the name Diabrotica virgifera virgifera (western corn rootworm). Its description in RNAcentral is "tubulin polyglutamylase TTLL5". The record is from RNAcentral. Lineage: Eukaryota; Metazoa; Arthropoda; Insecta; Coleoptera; Chrysomelidae.
UUCUAAUUUGACAGUAAAAGAAUAUGGCAAUAUUAACUUAUCAAUUUUAAAUUUCUAUUGUAACAAAGUUCAUAAAAACAUUCAAAAUUUUCAGUGUUUAUAGAGAAACUUAUUGCAAAAAAUGAACAAAUCUUCGUAUGAAUUACUAGAUGAUAAUUUAAUAUCUUCUCCAUCACAACAAACUAGUAGCAGCAAUAGCAGUGUGAGCAGCUGUUCAAAUGAAUCCCUUAAAACACCAGAGAAGAAAAUAAAUCAAGCAGAUGAACAUAAAAUUACCGAAAUACCUCCAAACGAACCCGUUCCGACCAUCUCAGAAGAAGAAUGGAUAUCAGGAGGUUCUUUAGGAUCUCGUAACACUGUCCUUAUUUUUAAAAGUUCAGCUUUAGCUAGUGCAUCAGAAUCAUCGAUACAAGAAAAGCCUGCCUGUAAAUUACAUAUUACUUACAAAGUAUUACAAGCCGAAUCGAAAUUAUUAUCUAAAUUAUUGGAUUGUCAUGGCAUUACCGAAGUCGCCCCGAAUUCAUCAGAUUUUAACUUACUAUGGACCGGAUCACAUCCUAAACCAGGUACAAUAAGAUCGUUAGCUCCACACCAAAGAGUAAAUCAUUUUCCACGAUCGUAUGAGCUAACCCGCAAAGAUCGACUGUAUAAAAACAUAGAGCGUAUGCAGCAUGCGAAAGGACUGAAAAAUUUUGAUUUCAUCCCACAAACAUUCGUCAUGCCCAUCGAGUAUCGUGAUCUGUGUACAACACAUCAUCGAGUAAAAGGACCUUGGAUAGUCAAACCUGUAGCCUCAAGCAGGGGUAGAGGUAUUUUUAUCGUCGAAACUCCAAAUCAAGUGCCUCUAGAAGAACCAGUAGUAGUGGCCAAAUAUAUUUCCAAUCCUCUUUUAGUAGCCGGUCACAAAUGCGACCUGAGAUUAUACGUAGUGGUAACUAGUUUUGAUCCGUUGCUAAUUUAUAUUUAUGAAGAAGGUUUAGUGAGAUUUGCUACUGUUAAAUAUGAUGCUAGUCACAAGCAGCUAUGGAACCCAUGCAUGCAUCUCUGUAAUUAUAGUAUUAAUAAAUAUCAUAGUGAUUAUGUCAAAUCGGAUGAUCCUUCAGCCGAAAAUGUUGGUCAUAAAUGGACUCUAAGUGCUUUAUUAAGACAUUUGAAAUCUGAAGGUAAAGAUACGGCGCUAUUGAUGUCUCAAAUUGAGGAUAUGAUUAUUAAAGCAAUCUUGGCGUGUGCUAAUUCUGUGAUAUCAGCUUGUAAAAUGUUUAUUCCCUUUACCAACAAUUGCUUUGAACUGUAUGGCUUCGAUAUUUUGAUAGAUAAAACACUCAAACCGUGGUUAUUAGAAGUUAAUUUAUCACCUUCAUUAAACUGCGACAGUCCAUUAGAUGUAAGGUUAAAAUCCGCCAUGUUGGCUGAUCUGUUAUCCCUAGUGGGAAUACCUGCCGUUGAUCCCAUGGUUAGAAUUAACGAUGAUCAUCACAAGUCAAAUUCAAGUAUUAGAUCCAAUUUAACUCACUGUAGAAGAGUACAUUCUGCUGAUGGAUUGGGUAAUAGCAACUCGUCAUUAAAAAAAGGCGCACAUACCGUAGGAAGAGGACCAUCUCCGUACACAGCAGAAGAAUCUAAAAUCAUUCGUCUUGCUUCUGCAGAGUUUAAAAGAAGAGGUGGCUUCGUUAGAAUUUUCCCAUCUGCUGAUAGUUGGAUGAAGUAUUCGCAGUAUUUAGAUAGGACUACUGGAAUACCGCAAUCUGGAAAUCCUGGAACUAACUUUUGUUUAAGCAGUCAACACAAUUUUAAUUUGUUGAUCUAUACGCAUUUCUAUCCGGACAUUCCAGUGGCAACGAAUACGAGUGACAGGCUUCAAAGUCGUUCUAGGCAGACAAUUGUCAAACGUGACCUGUCUGUUGAUAGUCACAAAGCAACGUAUAAGAACUUACAUACCAGACAAGACAGGUAUGAGCGAAUGUUAAGUCAAGGACAUAAGUCAUCACUAGCUCCCAGUAAAACUACUAGAGAAACGCAAUGCCUAGAUAUGAAAAAGAAAAUAAUCGAGAUGUUGCAUACUGGAAAACGGAUAACGCAAUGGCAGGCUAGAAAAACAUUUAGCCAUUAUUUGGGCUGCAUAUUACGAAGAAUUGUUAAAGGACCAGAUCAAGAUGACCAUGUCGAGAUUGUCUUGAAAUUUAUGCAGAAAGCCUCAAAUUAUUUGAGAACUCCGUUCAACGUUAAGACACCAAGUCAGAAACUCGAUUACAAAGAUAGAGCAGCUGUUAUAGCUAAACAAUUAAACGACUUCUUGUACCUGUACAACAGAGAAACGGAUAUGUACGUCGACAAAACUGAAAAAACUGGUCAAAUACCAAAGAAAAUUUAUAAUGAGUUUCUAGAAAACGCUAGAGAAUGUGACCUGGAGGAGUUGUUGAUAUACCAGACCACGCAAAAUGUGCCAAGCUAUGCUGCAAAUCAAAGCUUUCCAGGUUUGUUAAAGUGUAUUCCAGCAAUACCAAAGCAUUACGGCCUCAAACCCCCUACUAAAAUAAAUAAAGCAAGAGCAAACAUUAAAGGUCCCGCACAAGUUGAAGUCCACCACUAAGCAUUUGUUUUGGUGUAGUAAUGGUGAAAACGAAUUGAUAAAGAACCAAAGAUUUUUCGUAACCGAUACCAAUCGUACUAUUAUCAAAGAAAAUAAGAUUUUUUAUCUACCUAGAGACUUGUUUUUUGAUUGAUUUUGGCUUAACGGUUAUAAAAAGUUCAUAACCUAUAUGUACUCAAUUAUGAAUCAAAGACGCCUAAAAACUGUUUUAUAUUAUAUUCUACGUAAAUAAGAUGUUGUCCUAUUGGUCCAUGGUGCUAGUUUAUUUAUAGCCAGGAAAAAUGUAUAUUUAAGCAGAAAAUAUCUUCAAAACAAUAUUCUUUCAUGAAAUUAGUUUUUUUACAGAUUAUUUCAGAGGAGUCUUCUUUUUUGUAUUCGAUCUAUAGCUUCUGUAAAAAUGCCCUUAUUUCUCGAGUAUUCAGGAAGUAACAGAAAAGUGUAAAGAAAUGUUUGGAAAUCUUUAAAAAACAUAACAAAAAGAAUAUACUAUAAUAGAGCUAGAGCUCAAUUUUAAACUGUAUUUAAAAAUUGAACUUUGAAAUGUAUUAAUAUGUAAUUUUUGAUUCCUGAAAAUGAAAACGUAAUUUUAAGACUUAAUCGCUACACCAUAAUACAGAUAAAAAAAGCUGAGUCUGUUGCUGACUCUUUUGCCAUAUCUAUUAAUAAAAAAAUGCUUUUAUAAUUUUUAAGCCUAUAACUCAAAAAUGAAAUUCUUAUUACAAAUCAUUAUGUCGGAUUCCAGUAGAGCGGUGGAAUGAGACUGAAAUAACGUAAAUCUGCACUGGACUGAACACUCCAGUGAGCAAUCCACUCCAGUUGAAUGGAAUGACGGUCUAUUUUUCAAUUCAGCUCGCUCAUUCCAGCGUCACUGGAAUAUUUUGAACGGUCAAUCCAGUACUUGAUUAUUGCAUUAAGGGAUUAAAUCACUUUCAAUGGUGUUACCGAUCUUACAGCUUUUGAAUAACUGGAAAAUGUGGACGAUAUGAUCCAGUUCAGCACUGUGCUGGAUAACUACCUGAAUUACUGGGGGAAAUAAUGUGAACCAGGAUUAAUGUCAACCUACACUGGAAUGAAACAUUCCAGUGAUUAUUCCAGAACGACGGUCUAUUUUUGAUUCCAGCUCGCCCAUUACAGCGCCACUGGAAUAGUGUGAACGACCAAUUCAAUGCUUGAUAAUGGCAUUGAAGCAUUGUCACUAUAGUGUUACCGAUCUUACGGCUUUUGAAUAACUGGAAUAAUGUAGACGAUAUGAUCCAGUCCAGCACUGUGCUGGAUAACUACCUGGAUUACUGGAGGACAUAAUGUGAACCAGGUUUAAUGUCAACCUGCACUGGAAUGAAACAUUCCAGUGAUUAUUCCAGAAUGACGGUCUAUUUUUGAUUCUAGCUCGCCCAUUCCAGCGCCACUGGAAUAGUGUGCACGGCCAAUCCAAUGCUUGAUAAUGGAAUUGAAGCAUUGUCACUAUAGGGUUACCGAUCUUACAGCUUUUGAAUGACUAGAAUAAUGUGGACGAUAUGAUCCAGUCCAGCACUAUACUGGAUUAAGUCGCUGGAUAAUUGGACUGGAAAAAUGUGAACCGGACACAUUAUUCCCAUUAUUCCAGUCCAAUAAUCCAGCUAGUUAAUCCAGUACAGUGCUGGACUGGAUGAUAUCGUUUACAUUAUUCUACUCAUUCAAAAGCUGUAAGAUCGGUAACACUACAGCAUUGUUUAAAAAAUAAUAGUUGGUUAACGCAAUGAAUAAAUUUGUUUAAUUCUAAUUGAGAAAGUCGCCAGAUGUCACCACCAUUUCUGUCAGGGUUGCAAUGCCACGCUUAACUACGAUAAAUCCAAACUACAUAGACAUUAAGUUGAAAUAUUCAUAACACACCAUUUCGCAUACAUAUUAAGAAAAAUAAAUAUAUGGAAGAAUAUAUUUAGAAAUUGAAUUAAUGACGUCAUGCUACUAUACAUUAUACAUAUGACAUGACAUCAUUAAUUCCAUUUCUAAAUAUAUUCUUCCAUAUACAGUCGAACCCGCUUAUUAGAGUACCGGUUAUAGGAAUAUCCCGAUUUAUGGAAUAUAAAUUCGAGGUCCCGAAACGUUUCCAUUUACCCUUUAAUAAAUUUAUCCGUUUAUUGGAAUAUGGUUUAGUAACCUCAUACCGCUUUUUAGAAUAAUUUUUUUCAGGUCAACAAAUAAAUUUUACGUACAAUUUCCUAAAAAUUUUAAAUUUGCCUGAUAUAAUGGUUUGUCGGUAAGAGCUUCGAAAGCCUGCUGUUUUGUAUAUUAUUACGGGUUGUCAGGUACCUAAUAAACACUUUAUUACUGUGUUAUGAGUAAACGCUCCUUUCCCACAGAAAAUUCAAUCGUAUGCCGACAAGGUCAUAAAAUAAUUUCAUUUGUCCAUAAAUUUCUAUUGGCACACACAGGUACAUUGCCACACACUUGGCUAUUUCUAGAAACAGCAUUUUUCUAUAAGAUUAUUUAUUACCAGUAAUUGAUCGUUUGUUGGGAAGUCAUUUCUAAAACCCAAUUUCGAUUUAUUGUCUAAUCGUUUCGUAAUUAUUUUUGUAAAUAGAUUAUAAAUUUUGAUUGACAUAAAAAGACCUAAAACCAUAUGCAUAUACAUAUUGACAUAGUAUGUACUAUUAUAACGUAUAUUCGGUACACUUAUUUCAGCUAGCCACCAAUGAUCGGUUAUUAGAGUAUCCCGCUUAUAAAAAUAUUUUUGCUUGGCACGAAGGCUAUUCUAAUAGCGGGUUCGACUGUAUUUAUUUUUCUUAAUAUGUAUGCGAGUUAAUGUGUUAUGAAUAGGAUCGUAUAUAACUUGGUGUCUAUGCAUUUUGAAUUUAUCGUAGUUACGCCUGACGUUGCAACCCUGCAAACAAAUUUAUUCAUUGCGUUGACCAACUAUUCUUUUUCAAACAAUGACUAUAGUUACAAUGCUUUAAUGCCAUAAUAAAGUACUGGAUUGCCCGUUCACGUUGUUCCAGUGACGCUGGAAUAGGCGAACUGGAAUGAAAAGUAGUCAGUCACUCCGGUCAACAGGACUGGAUUGAUCAGUGGAAUGGUUCAUUCCUGUGCAGGUUUACAUUAUUCCAGUGGCAUUUCACCGCUCUACUGGUAUGCUGCACUGGAAUAAUAUGAACAGAACAUGCAGAACACUUUUUUUUGUCAUGAAAGCCAAAACUAAGCGUGUAAUACCUAAUUAGGACACUUUUUUAUCCUGAAAGCCAAAAUUCAAUACAAAAGAGAUAUCUAACUAGAAAUUUCGAUUGUUGAAUAUUUAUUUUUAGAGGACCAAUUUUUGGGUAUAACCCUUUUGCUAAUAAUUUUUCUUAUGUAUUUUUUGUACACCGUUUUAAUUUGAAAUAAAUGCCAAUAAAAACGCA